GACGAACGCUGGCGGCGUGGAUUAGGCAUGCAAGUCGAACGGUAGGAUACCUUCGGGUAUCUGAGAGUGGCGAACGGGUGAGUAACACGUAGGUGAUCUACCCUCAAGAUUGGGACAACCCAGGGAAACUUGGGCUAAUACCGGAUGAAAGCAGCAGUGAUGUUGUUUGAAAGGUGGCGUAAGCUGCCGUUUGGGGAUGAGCCUGCGCUCUAUUAGUAGUUGGCGGGGUAAAGGCCCACCAAGGCGAUGAUAGAUAGGCGGCCUUAACGGGUGGUCGCCCACACUGGGAUUGAGAUACGGCCCAGACUCCUACGGGAGGCAGCAGUCGAGAAUAGUCUACAAUGGUCGGAAGACUGAUAGUGCGACGCCGCGUGAACGAUGAAUCCCUUCGGGGUGUAAAGUUCUUUUAUAUGUGAGCAGUGCUUCUUAUAUUAACAGUAUGGGGAGAGUAGAUAUUAGCAUAUGAAUAAGCAAACGGCUAAACUCCGUCCAAGCACGG
This 499-nucleotide ribosomal RNA is filed under the name uncultured bacterium. RNAcentral describes it as "bacterial SSU rRNA". It matches the Rfam family "Bacterial small subunit ribosomal RNA", at positions 28 to 516 of the family's 1533-position model. The record is from RNAcentral.